GACGAACGCUGGCGGCGUGCUUAACACAUGCAAGUCGAACGGAAAGGCCCUGCUUUUGUGGGGUGCUCGAGUGGCGAACGGGUGAGUAACACGUGAGUAACCUGCCCUUGACUUUGGGAUAACUUCAGGAAACUGGGGCUAAUACCGGAUAGGAGCUCCUGCCGCAUGGUGGGGGUUGGAAAGUUUCGGCGGUUGGGGCUGGACUCGCGGCUUAUCAGCUUGUUGGUGGGGUAGUGGCUUACCAAGGCUUUGACGGGUAGCCGGCCUGAGAGGGUGACCGGCCACAUUGGGACUGAGAUACGGCCCAGACUCCUACGGGAGGCAGCAGUGGGGAAUAUUGCACAAUGGGCGGAAGCCUGAUGCAGCAACGCCGCGUGCGGGAUGACGGCCUUCGGGUUGUAAACCGCUUUCGCCUGUGACGAAGCGUGAGUGACGGUAAUGGGUAAAGAAGCACCGGCUAACUACGUG
This 468-nucleotide ribosomal RNA is filed under the name uncultured bacterium. RNAcentral describes it as "partial 16S ribosomal RNA". It matches the Rfam family "Bacterial small subunit ribosomal RNA", at positions 28 to 507 of the family's 1533-position model. The record is from RNAcentral.